RNAcentral lists this ribosomal RNA (137 nucleotides) under uncultured ammonia-oxidizing bacterium. RNAcentral describes it as "partial 16S ribosomal RNA". It matches the Rfam family "Bacterial small subunit ribosomal RNA", at positions 339 to 474 of the family's 1533-position model. The record is from RNAcentral.
CUACGGGAGGCAGCAGUGGGGAAUUUGGACAAUGGGCGCAAGCCUGAUCCAGCCAUGUCCGCGUGAGUGAAGAAGGCCUUCGGGUGUAAAGCUCUUCGCAGAGAGAAGAAAACGUUACUUCUAAUAUAAGAGUGAGG